RNAcentral lists this long non-coding RNA (396 nucleotides) under Malus domestica (apple). Its description in RNAcentral is "long non-coding RNA (MDOM_LNC009558)". Lineage: Eukaryota; Viridiplantae; Streptophyta; Magnoliopsida; Rosales; Rosaceae. The record is from RNAcentral.
CGGGUUCCUCGCCGGAAAUGGGUGUUCCUACACCCGAGUUUGUUUUCAUCCUAAAACCUCCAAAAAUCACGAAAUAAAACCAAUUAGAACCCAUUCUCACAAGAUUCUAGGACGAAAGAGAGGGAUUUGAGGCUUACCUAACCGGAAAAUAUAAAAAUCUCGCCGGAGAUCCUUUCCGGUUUUCUGUGUUCGCAGACACGAGAGGGAGAGAGAGCAGGACGAGAUGAUGAUGAUGAGUGGCUUCCUCGCGUACGCCUGCGUGCGUGCGUGCUGCUGCGGUGCAGAGAAGAGGGAGAGAAGAGAUAUGAGAGAGAGCUGAGAGGGAGAGACAGAAAGACAGAAAACGAAAAAGAAGAAGGAAGGGGCUUCACGGGGGGACAGAGAGAGUGAAGGGGG